RNAcentral lists this ribosomal RNA (368 nucleotides) under uncultured bacterium. Its description in RNAcentral is "bacterial SSU rRNA". It matches the Rfam family "Bacterial small subunit ribosomal RNA", at positions 29 to 424 of the family's 1533-position model. The record is from RNAcentral.
AACGAACGCUGGCGGCAGGCCUAACACAUGCAAGUCGAGCGCCCCAGCAAUGGGGAGCGGCAGACGGGUGAGUAACGCGUGGGUAUCUACCUAGUGGUGCGGAAUAGCCCAGGGAAACUUGGAGUAAUACCGCAUAAGCCCGAAAGGGGAAAGAUUUAUCGCCAUUAGAUGAGCCCGCGUUGGAUUAGCUAGUUGGUGGGGUAACGGCCCACCAAGGCGACGAUCCAUAGCUGGUCUGAGAGGAUGAUCAGCCACACUGGGACUGAGACACGGCCCAGACUCCUACGGGAGGCAGCAGUGGGGAAUUUUGGACAAUGGGCGCAAGCCUGAUCCAGCCAUGCCGCGUGUGGGAAGAAGGCCUUCGGGUU